Molecule: ribosomal RNA, 253 nt
Filed under: uncultured bacterium
Lineage: Bacteria
Description: partial 16S ribosomal RNA
Rfam family: Bacterial small subunit ribosomal RNA
Source: RNAcentral
UACAGAGGGUGCAAACGUUGCUCGGAUUUACUGGGCGUAAAGCGCGUGUAGGCGGUGCCGCACGUCCGGUGUGAAAGCCCAGGGCUCAACCCUGGAAGUGCACUGGAUACGACGGCGCUGGAGUCCUGAAGAGGAGGGCGGAAUUCCCGGUGUAGAGGUGAAAUUCGUAGAUAUCGGGAGGAACACCAGUGGCGAAGGCGGCUCUCCGGACAGGUACUGACGCUGAGACGCGAAAGCGUGGGUAGCAAACAGG